UGUGGGAGCGGGCUUGCUCGCGAAGGUGGCGUGUCAGUUCACAUCAAAGUCGACUGAUACACCGCCUUCGCGAGCAAGCCCGCUCCCACA
This 90-nucleotide non-coding RNA is filed under the name Pseudomonas fluorescens. Lineage: Bacteria; Pseudomonadati; Pseudomonadota; Gammaproteobacteria; Pseudomonadales; Pseudomonadaceae. The record is from RNAcentral.